This 1209-nucleotide long non-coding RNA is filed under the name Gallus gallus (chicken). Its description in RNAcentral is "long non-coding RNA NONGGAT004882". Lineage: Eukaryota; Metazoa; Chordata; Aves; Galliformes; Phasianidae. The record is from RNAcentral.
UGUGAACUGAGAGGAUAUGCAUAGCUACAGCAGUACCCUAGGUGUCGGCAAUAUUUCACUGGAGCUCUUGAUGCAACUUCUCUGAAUCACAUCAUGUGGUAGCCUUGGUGUAGCUGGGAAGGUAAGAGUGGACUCUGCUAACAUUAACAGCAAUUUUAUCUCCUGGGUGAAGAUGGGAGAUCAUAGCUACGUUUUUCCCCCUUCUCAAGCAAGAAGAAAAUGAAGGAUUUUGACUUGCCACCAACUCACCGGAUUGGCUCAGGCUUCAAGUGGUGAUUCAGACAACCAAUGAGUACUCUCUCUUGAAAAGCUGGCUUCCCCGGUGCCCUCUGGAUGUCAAGGUGAGCAGAGUUGCAGAGCGCAUGGACGCCACUGUCUGUCCGGCUGGAGAUGUGGAACUUGAUGGGAACAACAGGUUUUAGGUUCUGUGCUGCCUUCUGCAAUCGAACAUGAGACAGAACAGGAAACUCAGAGCUCCCCAGGAAACAAUGUCCUCCUCCCUGCUAAAUACAUCAUGCCUCCUUACUGUUCCCACAGAAGUAAUAGGGAGUUUUACUGUGAGCUGCAGAGAUGGAUGGAGGUGGGCCUGCUGACUUCUGCUAGUACUACUUGGUUUCUCACCUUGUGUCCCAGAAUCAUUUUAAAGAGAACAUACAAUAUGCCACGUCAGCUUCCUUACACAUAAAACAAGAAUAUUUACCUCCCUGGCCUUUGCUUUAUAUGAUUGGGCGGAAGAAAAGAGAACAGAGAAUCACUAAUUUAAAUCCAGAUGCAACCCCUGCAUCUGACUGCUAAGGACUGCAUUCAAUCUGCAUCAGCAGCAGGUAACAGCAGCACAGUGCAUGCUCACAGAGAGCUCCAGAACUCAGACAGAAACAGCACACAGGGAUGGCAGAGUGACAUUACAGCUAAGAGGCCUGACGGAGCUCAGGCUGCAGCCUUUUGUUCCAUUGCAGGCCAAAAUGGUGUAAAAUACAGCAGCUUAUUGCUGCUGGCAGAAUUUCUUUCCCGUCCACAACAGGAGCAGGGCUACAGAGGGCAACGUGCUUCCAUCAGUUGUUCAGAGCAGAGGAGGAGCUGGGGGACCAAAUGAGAAGUAGCACAGCACUGAUGUAAUGCGUUUAUUGGUCCCACUGAGAAACAGUAACAGAUCAGAGAACCAAGGCAUAGCUCUAAUAAAACACAGCAGUGGAGGAGCUGAUGCUGAGC